Molecule: long non-coding RNA, 1008 nt
Organism: Anguilla anguilla (European eel)
Lineage: Eukaryota; Metazoa; Chordata; Actinopteri; Anguilliformes; Anguillidae
Exons: 2
Source: RefSeq, a predicted model, not a curated record
UGGUGGGUUUCUGCUCAGGGGUGGCGGGUUUCUGCUCAGGGGUGGCGGGUUUGUGUUCAGGGGUGGCGGGUUUCUCUCUAGGGGUGGCGGGUUUCUGCUCAGGGGUGGCGGGUUUCUCUCUAGGGGUGGUGAGCUUUCCCCUGGCUUUUCUCUGGUUCUGAUCUGCACCACAUGGCCGAGCUGCUCUGGGUUUGCCUCCGCUCCUAAUCCUGCAUGUCCUGCAUGAUUACUAAACCUGCUGGGCCUGCCCUCAGCCAGCGCCUGUACCGUAUGGAGGAGUAAACAGAGAACGAUGAGCCCCAAAAUCACCCACACGCCCCCCUCCCACCCCAAGAAGACCCCCCCCUCCCCAGAAGACCCUGCCCAGAAGCGCCGCUUUUGUUGAUUGUCUGGUGACUGUACCAUUGUUUGAAAAAAAGAAAAAAAAAAAAAAAAAGAAAUUAAAUGUUUUGUUUUUUGUUGUUUUUUUUCCUUCCUCCUCUGGUUUUUUGUGGCCUGGGAAUGAAAGGCCCACUUACACCUGAGCCAGUAAAUCUGACGUAACACCCCCCAGUGUGCCUUACUGCAUUCACCCCUCCCGCCCCAUUCUCGCCCGCCAUCGCACCCGCUGCCAAGCACCCGUCUCCUGGCCCGGGCACCGCGCCCCCCCCCCCCCCCACUCCCCCCUCUGAACACGCUACAGAGCGCUUGGGCCUUGAACUACCCCGAAAAUCCAAGAUGGCCCCAGCGUAAGGGUGAGAACCUUGUGAAUGACGAGGGCUGGCUCACUGAGAGAGCUCGACACCGUCACCAUGCCCCGACAGGUGAGACAGGUAAAAAGGGAAAACACCGGCUCUCUUCCCUUUCUCGGACGUCCAUCGCAGCAGAAACAACAUGGCAAAGUGACUCGUGUGUGUGACACAUUGUAGAGGUUUUUUUUUUUUUUUUUUUUUUUUCUGUUGAAUGAAUUGUUCUAAGACAUUUUGUUGGCUUUUGUAAACACUUAAUUAAAAGCCAAGGUUGUGUAAG